Molecule: long non-coding RNA, 1839 nt
Organism: Populus euphratica (Euphrates poplar)
Lineage: Eukaryota; Viridiplantae; Streptophyta; Magnoliopsida; Malpighiales; Salicaceae
Exons: 2
Source: RefSeq, a predicted model, not a curated record
UUGUGAUAAGCUAUUGUUGUUGUUGCACUGAGUCACAAUGAGCACUAGGCUUUUUUUCGAUCCUUUGCUGAGCAUCAACGAAGAAUUGUAAGUACGUAAGUCUGUUGUUUUGGUCCAACAUUCACCGAAAAAGAAAACCGAACCACGAGGAGAAGGAAAUACAUUAGAGUAAUCGAUGCUGGCGGCGGCGGCGGAAGUGAGACAAGGUUCAGAAGCCUUUUUUACUGGGUCUCAAAUUCAUCGAUGCCAAGUGAAAAUAAUGGACAAAUGGAAUUGGGAGGAAUCAAUCAUGUUUUUACUAUUAAUUGCUUUGCUUGAAACGUGUGGAUCCUGGGUUCUCUGUCUUGUCCAAAAUCAUUGAACUUGGAGAAAACCCGAUAUUGUCACAUUUUCUACCUCAAUCAAUCUGCUCUGAAAAGUGGGUAGAAUGGCCCGAGCCAUGGAAUUCUUUGAUGACAUGGUGGCAAGAGGGUGUCAACUUGAUGUCCACACCUAUAAUACAAUUAUCAAUGGCUUAUGUAAGAUUGGGGAAACUGCUGCAGCUACUGGAUUGUUUAAGAAAAUGAAAGAGGCAGGCUGCCAGCCGAAUGUGGUGAUAUACAGUAUACUCAUUGACAGUCUUUGCAAAGAUAGGCUGAUGAUGAGGCUUUUGAUAUCUUCUCCGAGAUGAAGGCUAAAGGCAUCCCCCCAACGGUUGUCAGUUACACCUCUUUAAUGCAGGGCUUAAGCAAUUUCAGCUGAUGGAAGGAGGCUUCGGCAAUGCUAAAUGAAACAAGGAGUUUGAAUAUCAUUCUGAGUAUUGUCAUCGUCUGCCUGUUGAUUGAUUGAUACAAUUUGUAAAGAAGGCAAGGCUUCCGAGGCUGAAGGUGUGUUCAAAACAAUGACUGAAAUGGGUGUGGAGCCUAACAACGUUAGUUACAAUUCGUUGAUGUAUGGAUAUUCCUUGCGAACGGAAGUUCAUGAAGCUAGAAAUCUAUUUGAUGUCAUGAUAACCACGGGCUCUAAACUUGAUGUUCUUAGUUAUAAAAUCUUAAUUAAUGGAUAUUGUAAGGCCGAAAGAAUAGAUGAGGCCAAGCAACUUUUUAAUGAAAUGAUUCAUCAAGGCUUAACUCAAAACAAUGUCAGUCACAACACUCUUAUUGAUGGCUAUUACCAAUUAGGGAGAGUUAGGGAAGCACAAGAGCUUUUCAAGAACAUGCUCACAAGUGGCAAACUCCUAGAAUAUUUCUUGAUGGCAUUUGCAAACAAGGGUAAUAUGAUAAGGCACUCAGACUGUUUCGAGCAAUGCAAAGUACUUGCUUGAAUCCUGUUCUAGUGAUGUAUAACUUCCUGGUUGAUGCCAUGUGCAAAUUCAGGAAUCUUAAAGACGCAAGGGAACUGUUUUCAGAACUCUUUGUCAAAGGGUUACAGUGUGGUGUUCAGAUAUACUCUACAAUAAUAAAUGGACUUUGUGAAAAAAGAUUGUUAGAUGAAGCAUUGGAAGCUUUCUGAAAUAUGGAAGAGGAUGGCUGCCCUCCAGAUGAAUUUUCCUAAGAUGUUAUUAUCCAAGGAUUUCUCCAGCACAGGGAUGAAUGGCAAUGCAACUUAUUGGUGAAUUGAGAGACAAAGGUUUCAUUGCGGAUGUGGGACCACAACCUCGUAGAAGAUCUGUUAUCUAAUGAAGACAAUCUUGUUUUGAAGAAGUAUCUAGUCCUACGUGAAGUUUGUCAAGGUGAAAAGGUGAUGUAAACUUUUAUUUCUCCAUGCUGCAAAUUCAUGUGGCAAAUAUUAAGUAAUUUUUCCUCAACAUGUAAGUUAUUUUUAGUUCAAUCUUGUCAACAUCUGAACAAUGGCGCCAGU